This 497-nucleotide ribosomal RNA is filed under the name uncultured bacterium. Its description in RNAcentral is "partial 16S ribosomal RNA". It matches the Rfam family "Bacterial small subunit ribosomal RNA", at positions 28 to 507 of the family's 1533-position model. The record is from RNAcentral.
GAUGAACGCUGGCGGCGUGCCUAAUACAUGCAAGUCGAGCGAACGGACGAUAAGCUUGCUUCUCGGAUGUUAGCGGCGGACGUGUGAGUAACACGUGGAUAACCUACCUAUCAUACUGGGAUAACUUCGAAAAACGGUAUCAAAUCCGGUAUAAUAUUUUGAACCCCGGUGUGGAAAAGUAAAAUCCGGCCUUCGGGGAUCGACUAGAGGGUUCCCCGCUGCUUGCGGUGGUUGUGAAGGUACCGGCUUACGAAGGCAAGGAGGCAUGGCCGACGUAAGAGGGUGGUAGCCCACCUUGGAACUGAGACACGGUCCAGACUCCUAAGGGAGGCAGCAGUCGGGAAUCUUCCGCAAAGGGCGAAAGCAUGACGGAGUAAGCCCGAGUGAGUGAUGAAGGUCUUCGGAUCGUAAAACUGUGUUAUUAGGGAUGAACAUAUGUGUAAGUAAAUGUGCACAUAUUGACGGUAACUAAUCAGAAAGCCACGGCUAACUACGUG